CCUACGGGUGACAGCAGUGAGGAAUAUUGGUCAAUGGCCGAGAGGCUGAACCAGCCAAGUCGCGUGAGGGAAGACGGCCCUACGGGUUGUAAACCUCUUUUGUCGGGGAGCAAAGCGAGUCACGUGUGACUCAUUGAGAGUACCCGAAGAAAAAGCAUCGGCUAACUCCGUGCCAGCAGCCGCGGUAAUACGGAGGAUGCGAGCGUUAUCCGGAUUUAUUGGGUUGAAAGGGUGCGCAGGCGGAGGUGCAAGUCAGCGGUCAAAUUGCGGGGCUCAACCCCGUACUGCCGUUGAAACUGCAGCCCUUGAGUGCGCGAGAAGUAUGCGGAAUGCGUGGUGUAGCGGUGAAAUGCAUAGAUAGCACGCAGAACUCCGAUUGCGAAGGCAGCAUACCGGCGCGCAACUGACGCUCAUGCACGAAAGCGUGGGUAUCGAACAGGAUUAGAUACCCGGGUAGUC
This 459-nucleotide ribosomal RNA is filed under the name uncultured bacterium. RNAcentral's name for it is "partial 16S ribosomal RNA". It matches the Rfam family "Bacterial small subunit ribosomal RNA", at positions 338 to 795 of the family's 1533-position model. The record is from RNAcentral.